UGAUAAAAACCCUAAAAAUUCCUAGGACAAAAAAAUGGCAACUAUCCUUUCUCCUCCAAAAAUGAAACCAGCGGCAGACUUUGAGAAUUGUUAAACAAAGAGAAAAAAAGCAAAUCUUAAAAAUUUCUAAGCUAAGAAUCGGUGGCAGCAAGCAAAAAAAUAGGAUCCUAGUUACUAAAGAACGAACAGAGCUACCUCCCUUUUCCAUCUUCGCCCCCCGCUGGCGAGCUUAACCGGCAAAAUCCCAACGACUCUUUUCUCGGCGAAAGCUAACGUAUAUGCUCACAAGGAGGCAAAAAAUAGAGUUGAGGCUUUCCGGUACAAGUUGCUGUAUCGGGUUUCGGUCGUGGCCUGUUAUUUUUCUGCUCUUAGGAUAAUCGGAACAGAUUUGGAAGAACAAUUCUCAGUUGAAGCUUUAAAUUUGAAAGAUUCGAGGUGAAUUGAGGCCGAGUCGAGCGGCAUGGGCAGCAUGGUGUUGGUGUUCGUCCGGAUCGAGAUCCAGAAAUUUCUAAGCUCGGUGGCAAGUUCAUUGGAGAUAGUAAGGUAGCUGCACGGCGUUCGCAGUCUUGCCUUCCCCUCCCUAUCCUUAUUAUUUUAUAUUUCAGUCUUAUAUUGUAUUAAGCAGAUAGUGUUGAAUUCUGUUUAGUGGCUCAUGACUAGUGACACCAAAUUCCGGCUGGGUUGAUGUAUUUACAUACUUGAUUCCACGUAUUUUUGUUGAUACAUAUUAAUA
Molecule: long non-coding RNA, 733 nt
Organism: Nicotiana attenuata
Lineage: Eukaryota; Viridiplantae; Streptophyta; Magnoliopsida; Solanales; Solanaceae
Exons: 4
Source: RefSeq, a predicted model, not a curated record